CCUACGGGUGGCUGCAGUAGGGAAUAUUGUUCAAUGGGGGAAACCCUGAAGCAGCAACGCCGCGUGGAGGAUGAAGGUUUUCGGAUUGUAAACUCCUUUUGUUAGAGAAGAUAAUGACGGUAUCUAACGAAUAAGCACCGGCUAACUCCGUGCCAGCCGCCGCGGUAAUAAGGAGGGUGCAGGCGUUAAUCGGAAUCACUGGGCGUAAAGAGCGGGGAGGCGGGAUAGCAAGUCAGAUGUGAAAUCCUAUGGCUUAACCAGAGAACUGCAGUUGAAACUGUAAUUCUAGAGUAUGGGAGAGGUAGGUGGAAUUCUUGGUGUAGCGGGAAAAUCCGUAGAGAUCAAGAGGAAUACUCAUUGCGAAGGCGACCUGCUAGA
Molecule: ribosomal RNA, 378 nt
Filed under: uncultured bacterium
Lineage: Bacteria
Description: partial 16S ribosomal RNA
Rfam family: Bacterial small subunit ribosomal RNA
Source: RNAcentral